Molecule: ribosomal RNA, 460 nt
Filed under: uncultured bacterium
Lineage: Bacteria
Description: partial 16S ribosomal RNA
Rfam family: Bacterial small subunit ribosomal RNA
Source: RNAcentral
CCUACGGGAGGCUGCAGUGAGGAAUAUUGGUCAAUGGGCGCGAGCCUGAACCAGCCAAGUCGCGUGAGGGAAGACGGUCCUAUGGAUUGUAAACCUCUUUAUGCGGGGAGCAAUGCCGGGCACGCGUGCCCGGAGGGAGAGUACCCGCAGAAUAAGCAUCGGCUAACUCCGCGCCAGCAGCCGCGGUAAUACGGAGGAUGCGAGCGUUAUCCGGAUUUAUGGGGGUUAAAGGGUGCGUAGGCGGAUUUUUAAGUCAGCGGUAAAAUGUCCGGGCUCAACCCGGGCCGGCCGUUGAAACUGGGGAUCUUGAGUGGGCGAGAAGUAUGCGGAAUGCGUGGUGUAGCGGUGAAAUGCAUAGAUAUCACGCAGAACUCCGAUUGCGAAGGCAGCAUACCGGCGCCCGACUGACGCUGAGGCACGAAAGCGUGGGGAUCGAACAGGAUUAGAUACCCGAGUAGUC